RNAcentral lists this long non-coding RNA (1246 nucleotides) under Vigna radiata. RNAcentral describes it as "long non-coding RNA (VRAD_LNC007805)". The record is from RNAcentral. Lineage: Eukaryota; Viridiplantae; Streptophyta; Magnoliopsida; Fabales; Fabaceae.
UACAAAUAAAAUAAAUUAUUAAAAUAAAAACAAUAAACUAAAAUAACAAAAAAAAAGUUAAAAGAUGUAACUUUCAACGGAUUUUCACAUCUAUAAAAGGUUACAUCUUUUAAAUUUUUUAAAUCUAUUUACCAGUAUUAAACAAUUAAAAAAUAUAAAUAUAUAUCUACAAAUAAAAUACAUUAUUAAAUCUAAAAUUAUAAAUAAUAAACUAAAAUAAUAAAAUAGAAGUUAUGAUAAUCCUUCAACGGAUGUGAUAAUACGUUAAUGGAUAUCAACAUCCGUUGAAGGGGAAAUGAAUAUCAACGUCUGUUGAAGGGGAGACAAAAGUUGAUAUUCGUUGACGACUUAUCACAUCCAUUGAAGGAUUACUAUAACUCCUUUCGCGCACCUAAGACGAAGUUUCCUCUGCUGCCUCUGAUAAGCACCACCACAAUCAUCGAGCUCUGCCACCAUUGGUUCCUUGCAACCUCCCACCAAGCACAACCCACUGUCAAGGCGCGCACACACACACGCACACUCACACCACCACCACACUCACAUAAAGUAAAAUGAAAUAGUUAUAAAGGAAUAAGAAAGGGAGAGCUGAUUUUCAUGUGCAAGUUCGGGUGUGGAGGUGUAUUCUUAUAAAGGAGGACCAUUAAUAUGUAAUUAAUGAAGUAGGUGGGUGUGGGUGAAAAUUUACUGUGGUAAUUAAAUGAUAUUGAAGGGCAAAUUAGGUAGGUGGUGUAGGGAGCAUUUGGUGGUGGUGAAGGGAGCAACACUCUUAAAAAAUUUUGAGAAGGUACAGGGAGCAUUUGGUGAUAGUUGAAGGAGUAACACCUCCUAUGAAACUCCAACUCCACCAAGGACACCAUGACCUGCCCAAAUAGGACAUACUAUGAGGAUAGAUCAAGUUGCUCAAAGUGUAUUCUCUUAUUCUAUCUAUCUUAUCCACUAUUCUAGAAAUUAGCUAAAUCAAAAGCAUUAUUGUAAACCUUUGAAGGAUUUAAAUGUCUCCAUGGUUUUUGUAGGGUCAUUAAUAAAGGUGUCAAAUUGACCUAUGGCCUAUGGUCCAACCUUAACUCAUAUUUGGAAAGACUCCAUUUUAAGAAGUUCCCUUCUGAGGUAAAAAAAAAAAAAAGAAAGCCUUAAUCAAUAAAGUCUCCUCUCAAGUGGAUUAAAAACAUUGUUAAGGUGAGUUUGAUUUUAUUACAAAAUUUUAAUUAACUUUUAUAAACGAAACAAUAUGGUUUAUGUACACAUA